GUGGAGAGAGCUAGCGCUGCUAUCUUUGCUCAAGACAAAAGGGAAAGUAAUGGCUUAGCUAUUAUCAAAGACAAGUAAGCCCAGCUCAAAUCAGCCCUUUUUAUUAUUUGAUUUGAUUCACGUAGUAAAAAACGACAAAUUAGCUUCCAAAAAAGGGGGGCUAUUGUGACAGGGGUGGGCAAUCCAGGCGUUAGCAGCAGGCAAGAGACACCUGCUCCAGCUGACCAGCUAGCAUCCAAGAAGGGGGGGUGGCUAGCGCCCGGAGCUAGCACCUGACUCACAAGUUGCAUUUUGUCCAAAUUAUAGCAUUAAAACACAUUUCUGACACAUGAGCCAAGGAUGUAAGCCGGCGGUCGAAUACGACUACACUGUCCACUUACGCGUCUCCCAUUCGCUGUGGGAAAGCAAAACAACCCAGGCGGUGUUAGCUUGGAGGCUAACACGUUACAAAGAAACACCCUCGCUAGCCAAACUGCUACCCGAGCCUCCGCCUUCACACGCCGGACAAAAACACUCACAAGCACCACGUUCAGGAGGUGUCCAUCACAUUGAGGAAGUCUCCUCCUGAUGCUUAGACGUCAAACCCUGCAGGUCCAGAUGCACAUUGAGAGUCUGUGCUGCUCACAGUGUCCAAGUGGGUGCGCUGGUGUUUGGCUCUGUCACUGGAGUUGCUGAAGGCCUUGAAGCAUCCUGGGUGCUGGCACAGGUACGGCUUCUCCCCCGUAUGGCUGCGCAGGUGGAUCUUGAGAUUUUCCAGGCGAGAGAAGGCCUUUUUGCAGCCCUUGAACUGCAAAAAAAAAACGAUGCUUGUCGGAGAGACUCACAAGGGACAACGGUUGUGAGUCCGGGCCCUGUGAGUUAUUGACCCUGUGCCAGAGGGGAAGGUAGAGGUCGCGCUGCCAAUGACAAAGAGGACGCCCGUGAGCCUUGGUGGACGGAGGGCGGAUGCUGCGGGGCACGAAGCGAUCGAAGGAGGCAGCAAUCAUUAAAAGCUGGUCCGACUGUCUGUCUCCUUGUCUAAUUGAUCUAUAGCCUGACGAGGAGAGACGGACCACUGAGUGCCCGGCUGCAUUAUGGGAUGUCUGGCUUACUGUUUGUCAGUUACAUCAAGGAGCAACACAGGAUUGCACUUCAACAUGUUCGAAAAGGAGUAGGAAGAAGCAGAGUUGAUUUAGUCCUUCUCCAACCGGGGCGGAUGCUAAACGAGGUUCCACCAUAAAUGCUGGACCUGUUCAUCACCCCCUGCCCCCCCUCCAGGUCCGGGUUGUGUCAAGUGUCAAGUUUCCUUUGAGACGGCAACAUCCAUCUAGCAGCAUCUCCUCAAGACAUGUCUCCUGACAGACGUGUUCAUGUAACGGUGAUGGGAGAGCGAGGUGGGGGUGUUAGCUAUCUGGGUGGCUUCUCACACCCCCCACCUCCCACCUCUCAUGGUUUCUGUUAUAUUCAGGGGGUUUUUUCACACCACCAUAUUGCUUUAGGGCCCCCACAGGUCAGCAGUAUACCGUAGGUGUUGUUUUCUUCUCAGUCCAGUAUAGACAAAGACAGUAUAGCUUCUCAAGGGACAAUACUAGCAUAUCCAAAUUUGAUUUCUAUAGUACUGUCCCGUUUUGAGAAGAUAUACAGUACUGCAAUUAAAAAUUCUGAAACGUGAGGGCAGCACUCACAGAGGAAAUCUUGUUUUACAUUCAAAUCCAAUAUAAUCAAGGUACCAGAGGCCACCGUUUUUUUUUUUUUUACUUGGCUCGGUGGGUUUCAAUUUUGAAGUACUUUUCACUGCUAAUCAACACGUAGCUUUGAUUAAGACAUUGGACCCCAAAUAAACACAUUUGGUGCAUCCUCAAGUCACAUCAUUCUAAGAAAAGAUCGUGAAUUAUGAUAAUAUUUCCAUGAUAAAAGAAAUGAGGUUGUUGAGAGUAAUGUAGAGCCUUUGGUUAAAUUAAUUAAAAAUAGAGCACAUUUUUAAAUGUACAAUAAAUUCCAUCAUAUUACACUAGGUCCCCAACUUACGAACACCCGACUAGCGAACAUUCGCGGACACGAACACAAGCCGACUGGUCUAUACUUUAUUUUAUUUUGCCUUGUAGUCGCUCAAUCAGUAUUUAUACUGCUACAGUACAUGCUUGACCAGUAGAGGGCACUGUGACACUGCUAAUGGGACCAACAGAGGAAGAGUUAGACGCUUGGGAGAUAAAGCUAAAUGGAAAGCUAAAUUAUACAACCAGGACAGAGCGUGUGAUUAAUGUUUAUGAAGAGUUAAUAGGCCUGCUUAAUUCUACACCACCCACAGAACACUACCUCUUUUAGAAGAGUCUAACGAUGACGACGAUUUGUCCUUUUUUUCAAUAACUCCUCCUCCAACUCCACCACAACGACGUAUGCUCGACCACUCCUCUUCAAAGGUAAAUAACAUUUAUCAUUACGUAUUAUUAUAUCACUUUUAUUAUUGUUUUUUUCAUUAAUUAUCCUCGUUUAAUAUUACUACUGCAUCCAAACUCAUAUUUACAUACAUACACAUAUACUGUAUAUGUAUACACGUACAUGUAGUACCUAUAUCAUUGGUAAUAUUACCUUUUCCCCUACUUAAGAACAAUUCGACAUAAGAACCGUCGUCUGGAACCAAUUGUGUUCGUAAGUUGGGGACCUAGUGUACAUGAAUAAUUGCUAUGGAAAAUGUUAAAUACAACAAAAUUAAAGAAAAAUAAUAGAGUCAAAUAUUUGACAAAAAAAUAUGUUUUUAAAACAUCAAUGAAAAAUAAGUGGGACAAAACCCGUUUUAUGUAAAAAAAAAAUUGUUGCUGCUGACUGAAAUGUUUAAAUAUUUUAAAAGAUUGCUGAAAAAAUGUAAAUGGUCCACAUAUGUGAUAAAAAAAAUUAAACUAAAAAUUGGCGCAGUCGCUGUUUUUGUUGGAAAGUUGGGACCCAACAUGGAAGGAAAAGGACAAGCAGACUUGGCUGCAACAUAGUCAAACACUUCAAAACCAUCACUAUCAUUUGUGUAAAAUGUUACAUUUAUAUGGCAAAUAAAGCUUUUUUUCAAAACAGCACCCUCUGCUGGAUUUGCUGUGGCACUCAUGCCCCACAAUAACCUAAUGCAAAAUGAACAUUAUUAUACUUGAGAUCCUGUAACUUGU
Dunckerocampus dactyliophorus (ringed pipefish) is the source of this 3131-nucleotide long non-coding RNA. RefSeq lists it as uncharacterized. The transcript has 7 exons. The record is from RefSeq and is a predicted model, not a curated record. NCBI's taxonomy places the organism in Eukaryota, Metazoa, Chordata, Actinopteri, Syngnathiformes, Syngnathidae.